CAAUUCAAACAUCAAUUAUAAAACAGUACAAUGAUGAUCAUUCCCGACUUUAUUAGCAUGAAACACACAUGAGGUUUAUACACAUUUGGAUAUGAGAGAUACGAGAAUGUUGUUAAUUCUAUCAAAUUCUUGACCCCAGUUCAAAUCUUCAAACAUAUGUCAAGUGUGUCAUCUCCAACAAUGUCCCACUACCUUUGGUAGAGGAGAUCGAACUUGAACAACUGCACAACCUGGAGACUUUAGAGGAAUGCAUUCCUUUAAUUUGACUGCCAUUUCAAUUUUAUUCCUUGAGAUCAGGCCUCUCUAGCUCCACUUUUUCAGCAGUACUUUUCUGUUUGUGUGACUACUCACUUUCUUUAUAUGUCCAAAGCUAGAAUUGGUUAAAGUCAAAGAAAGUCAUGAAAAAAGUUGGUCGCUACUAUCUUUGUCCUUCAACCACCAACUCUCAUUCUCACCUAAAAGCCUUCGGAUUUGAAUAAAUGUGUAUGAUUAGAUAAGGAGAAACUUAAAAAAAAUUAACUAAAAAAUAAUUUAAUUGUAUUAUGAUUAAAUAAACAGAAACUUAAUCUAAAAUUCAAUAACAUAAAAUUAACUAAAUAUUUGUGUAUAUCUAAAAAAAAAAAAAAAUACGACUAAAACUUUUGGUAUUUUAUAUAUAAAACCAUCAACGUUGUCCAUUUGAACUUAUUAAUUUAAAAAAGAAGUUCGGCCAGAAGAUGGGUGUGCCACAACAAGACAAGAGUAAAAUUUCCAAUGUCUCCAUCAACUAUAUCUUUCAUGGUAUUAAAGUGGUAGAAUUUUAUUGCCAUUGAAAUAAAAUCAUAUUUUCCUUAAAGAAAUGACAAUAAUAAAUUGACUAGGUAACAACAUAAGGUACUCUCCAUGUUCUAAAUUUUAAAAGUGUUUAAUAGGUAUAUAAAUUUUCAUUUAAGCAUACUUAGAAAUUAAUCUUUUUAGGUUUUCUCAAAAGAAAAAAAAAUACCAACUAUUUAGACUUUAUAAAAAAAAUCGAUAAAAGAAAAAAAUUAUUAAUUCAAUAAAGUGUAAAUAUUGGGUCUAUUUUUGACAAUUUUCCUUAAUUUUUUAAUUUCUAAAUAUUCUUAAAUUUUUAUUUCUUUAAAUUUUAUGCUCAAUAAAUUACUUAUUUAAAUUUAAAUUUUAUAUAUAAUAAGUUAUUAACCAAUCAUGAUAUCUUAUUUUUUCUGAAUUUAUUUUACGACUGGUGAAGUUUAUAGUUUAGUACUUAUAGUUUAACCAAACCUUAUAAAAAUUCUAUAGUUUGUUAAAAUAAAUUCUAAACAAUCAAUCUAUUAAACUAAAAAUUUUAAAGUGGAGAACCUUACAAAUUCUAAAAUAUAUCUAUUAGACAAAAAAAAUUAUUAGAUCAUUUAAAAAAUUUAAAGGUUAAAUAAAUAAAAUGUUAAAAUCUAAACCUAUAAUUUAUUCCUUAAUUUAAAACCAAAAAGUUACAUUAAAUUUUCAUUUUUACCUUGAUAUUACACCAAAAUUCUCAUCUUGGCUGUAUUGAUGAUAGUGUCUAUUAAUUAAUUAAAAAUAAUAACAUAGAAAAAUUUGAUUUCAAUUGUAAUAAUAGUGGUAAAUGUUAGUAAAAUUUAUUAAUAUAAUCAGGAGACAUUAAGUAAAGACUAAAAGAGAAAAAAAAAGUUAAAAUGAAUGGUGAAAAAGUGUAAAGGUUGGAAUUAGAAAGCGAAACAAAAAUAAUAAUUAAGGAGAGGAGAAAAGGAGUUGUGGUGAAAUAAAAGUAAAAAAAUGUAAUGUGAAAACCUCAAAAUUGGCUGCAAAAAGAAGUAUUGAGUGUUGAGAAGAGACAAGCGUAUGGUCCACACUACACCCAUGUCUUUGACUUUUUCUCUCUUCAAUUUU
Molecule: long non-coding RNA, 1884 nt
Filed under: Cucumis sativus (cucumber)
Lineage: Eukaryota; Viridiplantae; Streptophyta; Magnoliopsida; Cucurbitales; Cucurbitaceae
Description: long non-coding RNA (CSAT_LNC002419)
Source: RNAcentral